UAACGACUCUCAGCAACGGAUAUCUUGCUCUGCAACGAUGAAGACGCAGCGAAAUGCGAUACCUAGUGUGAAUUGCAGAAUUCCGCGAAUCAUUGAGUCUUUGAACGCAAGUUGCGCCCGAGGCUUGUCCCGAGGGCAUGCCUGCCUGAGCGUCACC
Molecule: ribosomal RNA, 157 nt
Filed under: Plagiochila effusa
Lineage: Eukaryota; Viridiplantae; Streptophyta; Jungermanniopsida; Jungermanniales; Plagiochilaceae
Description: 5.8S ribosomal RNA
Rfam family: 5.8S ribosomal RNA
About the family: 5.8S ribosomal RNA (5.8S rRNA) is a component of the large subunit of the eukaryotic ribosome. It is transcribed by RNA polymerase I as part of the 45S precursor that also contains 18S and 28S rRNA. Functionally, it is thought that 5.8S rRNA may be involved in ribosome translocation.
Source: RNAcentral